RNAcentral lists this ribosomal RNA (190 nucleotides) under uncultured heterokont. RNAcentral describes it as "partial 18S ribosomal RNA". It matches the Rfam family "Eukaryotic small subunit ribosomal RNA", at positions 623 to 813 of the family's 1831-position model. The record is from RNAcentral.
AAAGCUCGUAGUUGAAUUUCUGGUNUCGGACAUCGGUNUGCCUCNAACGAGGUACGUACCAGUUGUUUGAAUCCAUCCUCGGGGAAAACGUAUCUGUCAUUUAAUUGAUGGACGCGGGGUCCCCGUCAUUUACUGUGAGCAAAAUAGAGUGUUCAAAGCAGGCUUAUGCCGUUGAAUACAUUAGCAUGGA